CCUACGGGGGGCAGCAGUAGGGAAUAUUGCUCAAUGGGGGAAACCCUGAAGCAGCAACGCCGCGUGGCGGAUGCCGGUUUUCGGCUUGUCCCCUCCUUUUUUUCUCUCCGCUCCUGCCGGUCUCUCCCGCCUCCGCCCCGGCUACCUCCGUGCCAGCCGCCGCGGUCCUCCGGCGGGUGCCCGCGUUCCUCGGCCUCCCUGGGCGUCCCGCGCGCGUCGGCGGGCUCGCCCGUCCGCUGUGCCCUCCUCUGGCUUCCCCCUCGCCCUGCCUUUGCCCCUGUUCUUCUCGCGUCUG
This 295-nucleotide ribosomal RNA is filed under the name uncultured bacterium. RNAcentral's name for it is "partial 16S ribosomal RNA". The stretch from base 1 to 187 matches the Rfam family "Bacterial small subunit ribosomal RNA", at positions 338 to 542 of the family's 1533-position model. The record is from RNAcentral.